CAGAUUUCUCCUGCUGUCUGUUUGCAGGACGAGGAUGAUUCAUGAUUGUUUUUUUUUGAACACUCAUAACGAAACUGUAAGUCGCUUGUGUCACUUUUGCUUCUAGAUGUUAUCUAAUAAAAACAAAAAGGGCACACGGAGCCUGGGUUUAAAUUGAUCCCAGACGUCUCAAAAUAACCACCAGUGGAUCUUAUGACACCGAAAACUGCACUUUAAAAGGAAAGCUGGAGGAUCUUAGUGCGUAAGUGUUGAUCAUGUCAGGGUGGUGAACGACCUAAUCAGCUGAUCUUUGUUUAGCAUUCACCCGUGACACAUUCGCCAUACCAUCGCUCUGUUCCGGAGACAAGUUGAAAGCUUUCUCUUUUCAAGGCUGAUUUCUGAAGCUCGCUGCUGAUAUCAAGAUCCUCUUGAUGGCUGCUGUCUGUGUCAGGACUGCUACAUGGAGCUCUGUUUGGAUCUCUGUCCUUCUCCUGCUCAUCCUCCUGCAGAUGUUGAUCUCCCUGCAGCUUUUUGCUGGUGUCUUCGUCCACUCCGAUGAAGUCCUCAUCAGCCCUUUGUUCUUCUGUCGAACACCUGAACCUGGUGAACUGUCCUGCAUCAGCUGGUCCAGGAUCCAUCUCGAUGGAGCUGGAUCUGGCAUGAGUGUCCUCCAAACACUGGUUCUCCUGAGUUUUUAUGUUCCAGUGGUGCUUGUUGCCUUUGGCCUGCUGGCCAUGCUGUUGGCAGCCUAUUCCAAAGACGAAGCAGCACGUUGGUGGAGCUUGGCCUGCCAGGCGGCCUCAAGCCUCCUCACUCUGGCUGGUAUUGUUCUUUUUUUGGUGCUCUAUCAGUCCUAUGUGAGCCGGAAGGACGUGACCGUUUGGUUCUACGUCUGUGUCGGGGUGCAGGUGGAGCUGCUUGUCACAUCUGUGCUGACCUAUGCAUCAAGGAGAAAGUCAGAACCCGACUUGGUAUAGACGCGUCCCUUCUGCCCCUGCUUCAGCACAACCACAGGAACCCCAAGGGGAAACAUUUUAUUUCUGUAAAUAUUCUUUCAAAAAAAAAAAUCAUCAUCAGUCUGUUUUCUGUGAUAUUUAGACGUUUUGAAAACCUUGCUUAUGUUACUUGUAGAUUGUAAUUUUUUAAUGUGUAACUCAUUGCAGCUGCUAGAAUUCUGACAAACACGAGAAAGACGGCAGAUUCUUAAAUUCUUGUGUUGGCUUCCGUUUAUAUAGAACUGAAUUUGAGAGCCUCAUGAAUGGCCUGGGGGUCAGAAUACAUUGAAGAUGUGUUUGUUGAGUAAAACCCAGGAAGGUCUCAAAGUAUGGUUACAACUGCCUGUAUUCUUAUUCAACUUGUCUACAGUUUUGUUCACCAAAUUGCACAUUUCCAUGUUCCAUUUCAAUAUUUUUAUAAAAACAUACAUGCACUUUACCGAA
Stegastes partitus (bicolor damselfish) is the source of this 1418-nucleotide long non-coding RNA. RefSeq lists it as uncharacterized. The transcript has 2 exons. NCBI's taxonomy places the organism in Eukaryota, Metazoa, Chordata, Actinopteri, Pomacentridae. The record is from RefSeq and is a predicted model, not a curated record.